Molecule: ribosomal RNA, 495 nt
Filed under: uncultured bacterium
Lineage: Bacteria
Description: partial 16S ribosomal RNA
Rfam family: Bacterial small subunit ribosomal RNA
Source: RNAcentral
GAUGAACGCUGGCGGCGUGCCUAAUACAUGCAAGUCGAGCGAACAGACGAGGAGCUUGCUCCUCUGACGUUAGCGGCGGACGGGUGAGUAACACGUGGAUAACCUACCUAUAAGACUGGGAUAACUUCGGGAAACCGGAGCUAAUACCGGAUAAUAUAUUGAACCGCAUGGUUCAAUAGUGAAAGACGGUUUUGCUGUCACUUAUAGAUGGAUCCGCGCCGCAUUAGCUAGUUGGUAAGGUAACGGCUUACCAAGGCAACGAUGCGUAGCCGACCUGAGGGUGAUCGGCCACACUGGAACUGAGACACGGUCCAGACUCCUACGGGAGGCAGCAGUAGGGAAUCUUCCGCAAAGGGCGAAAGCUUGACGGAGCAACGCCGCGUGAGUGAUGAAGGUCUUCGGAUCGUAAAACUCUGUUAUUAGGGAAGAACAAAUGUGUAAGUAACUAUGCACGUCUUGACGGUACCUAAUCAGAAAGCCACGGCUAACUACGUG